Molecule: ribosomal RNA, 460 nt
Filed under: uncultured bacterium
Lineage: Bacteria
Description: partial 16S ribosomal RNA
Rfam family: Bacterial small subunit ribosomal RNA
Source: RNAcentral
CCUACGGGAGGCAGCAGUGAGGAAUAUUGGUCAAUGGACGGAAGUCUGAACCAGCCAUGCCGCGUGCAGGAAGACGGCUCUAUGAGUUGUAAACUGCUUUUGUACAAGGGUAAACCUGAAUACGUGUAUUCAGCUGAAAGUACUGUACGAAUAAGGAUCGGCUAACUCCGUGCCAGCAGCCGCGGUAAUACGGAGGAUCCAAGCGUUAUCCGGAUUUAUUGGGUUUAAAGGGUGCGUAGGCGGAUUGAUAAGUUAGUGGUGAAAGGUUGGAGCUUAACUCGAGAACUGCCUUUAAUACUGUUGAUCUAGAGAAUAGAUGAGGUAGGCGGAAUGCAUGGUGUAGCGGUGAAAUGCUUAGAGAUCAUACAGAACACCGAUUGCGAAGGCAGCUUACCAAUCUAUAUCUGACGUUGAGGCACGAAAGCGUGGGGAGCAAACAGGAUUAGAUACCCCUGUAGUC